RNAcentral lists this long non-coding RNA (586 nucleotides) under Pan troglodytes (chimpanzee). Its description in RNAcentral is "long non-coding RNA NONPTRT005612". The record is from RNAcentral. Lineage: Eukaryota; Metazoa; Chordata; Mammalia; Primates; Hominidae.
GAGGUAACAGCGGUGACACGCCCCCAGGACGAAGCCUUCUCGCAGGAUCAACCCAACUCCGGUGAGCGAAGAGCGGUCACUCUCCAAGCCCAAGACCUGCUUCACCUCACCCCCAAUCAGCUGUGUCCCCAGUUCCCAACCCUCAGUCCUGGACACUAGCCCUUGGGGCCUUGGCCUUCCCCCAGGGUGCAGAAGUCUGCAAGAGGAGCGAGAGAUGCUCAGGAAGGAGCGCUCUAAGCAGCUGCAGCAGUCACCUACCCCCACCUGUCCCACCCCAGAAUUGGGGUCGCCCCUCCCCAGACGGACAGGAAGCCUCACAGAUGAACCUGCGGACCCUGCCAGAGUGUCUUCCCGCCAGCGCCUGGAGCUUGUAGCCCUUGUUUACUCCUCGUGCAUUGCUGAGAACCUGGUACCAAACCUCUUCUUGGAGCUUUUCUUCGUCUUUCAGCUCCUCACUGCCCGGAGGAUGGUGACUGCCAAGGACAGUGACCCUGAACUAAGUCCAGCUGUCCUAGGUCAGUGAGCAAGCCUCCUUUUGAGACAUGGGGUCUAGAAACGGGACCGUUCUUAACUGACAGCUUGGUAC